RNAcentral lists this small RNA (4167 nucleotides) under Rattus norvegicus (Norway rat). Its description in RNAcentral is "uncharacterized LOC102553702". The record is from RNAcentral. Lineage: Eukaryota; Metazoa; Chordata; Mammalia; Rodentia; Muridae.
CUGACUUUUCAAAGAACACUUAAGUCUCCUCUUCAGUGUCCUCUAGAGUCAUAGAGCUUAUGGAAUGAAUAAGAUAGACAGACAGACAGACGGGCAGACAGACAGACAGACAGACAGACAGACAGACAGAAGGGGCUAUAGUCCAACUAAUUCAACAAUGGCCAGCCAUGAACGGGAAAUAAAUUAUCUUGUUCUUAUGUUGUCAAGUAAUACCUCUACGACACAGAUUCUCCAGGUAGGGCUGACAUGGCUUAGCAGGCAAGAGCAAAGGACCCAGAUUCAGCUUCCAGCACCCACACAGCAGCUCGCAACCAUCUAUAACUCUAAUUCUUUGGGAUUCAACACCGUCUUCUGGCCUUGGCAAGUUAUGCACAAGCAUACGUUCAGACAAAAACAUCCAUACACAUAAAAUAAAAGUAAGAAGAAAAACCUUUAAGAUUCUACAGACACUCAAACUGGUUGACUAGUACUUCCUGAUUGUGGGGAGUUGGAAUGUUGUAGAUCCUCAGCCAGUAUUACCUUUAGUCCCCCUCAGCACCAUUUAUCAUCUACCCUAGUAUCUGCUUUAAUAUCCAUCCACUUGACUGUUAGCUAUAAGUAUAUAAAGAUGGACACUCACUGGGAUUUCUAGAUUCUUAUGUCCCUGAACAAAUGUGAGGACAGAGAUGUAGAUGGCAACAUGGGCAUGAGAUGACAAAGAGAGUUUAUUGACAUUCAUUGGAAAAGAGAAAAGCCAAAUCCCAGAGAGAGAGAUGACACCAUUAAGAGGAAGCAGGACCAUGAAAGUCAAGAAAAUACUUUAUCUUAUGGGCCAUUUGCUCAAAGAUUCAUAUCUAGAUAGGCAGGUAUCUCACUAUCUCAUUAAGUAGUAAAUAGUAUACUACAUGUCUUUUUGACACUAGCCAUGUAGUCAGGGUGCCACAGGUCCUCGGUAGCUAUGCUCCAGAUGCUUGUAUACAGUAAGUCAUGACCUAGUUGAUAAAGUGUGGAAAUUUUGUUUUCAUUCCUGAUCUGUCUCUACAAAAACAUUCCACUAGUCAAGACAAGUCAUGUGGCAAAGCCAGCAUCAAUGGAUCAGGAAUACACCAUCUCUCAUAAUGUCAACAAGGCCACAUGACAGAAUAUUGGAGAUAUAACAUAAUUGGUAGCCAAUCAGGACACGGGGAGGAAAUCAGGACCAGCCAAGCUAACCAGAUGUAGCACUUCACAGCUUGAAUGUGUCACUCAAGCCUGUUGAUUCUGCUCACAUGACGUGUCAGAAUCCCAGACAGUACGUAAGUCUAAUUUUUACUAAUCCCAGACUAUGGCUCCAUUUCCACAAAAUGGACAGGUCAUUUCUGUCUAGAAAGGUCUAGAAAUAUAAAGAAAUCAAAACCCCCUAUUUUAUCUGACCUCUUCCUCAGAGGCAGAAUAUCUUUACUCUAGUCAUUUCCUGUUGCCUCCCUUAGAAAAACAAUUGCUAUUGGUUAUUGUGACAAGUGUUUUAAAAAUUGAAUUGUGUUCAUCUGGUUUAAGAUUUGACUAAUGAGUUUGGAAUCUCACUUUGAGCUAACAUUGUCCAGGCACUUUAAAAAGUCACCUAGAUAACAGAUUGCCUAACAUAAAGAGCUGUGUUUGGUUUCAAGGUAAUUCUAGUUCAUCUGGUGGUUUAUUAGCUGUGAUCAAAUCUGGCUGAAAGUGUCCAGAAGGACAGAGAAAGGGCGGAAAAUCAAAGACCUCACCUUGCCUACAUCUACACAGCCAAGACUGCCACAAAACAAGAGACAGAGUCUGCAUUAAAGCAGACACAAGAUAUAGACAUAAGUUGCCUGUUCUGCACCCAUGGAACUUCCUGGACGUCCAUUCGCUUUCUGACCUUUCCUGCCCAUGCUUCAGACGGAGCAACCCAUUCUUCAUGGCCUUCCAGGCUGUCACGUCUGUUGUUCGCCGUCCGUGGACACCAAAGUGGAGAGCUGGCUCUCCUUGAAACAGCUUGAGAAAAAUUCCAAUGUGGCUCCCGGUUCUGACCUCCCGAGGACUUUCGGACAGAGCAAAUACAUCUCUGCAAAGUCAGAUGUUUAAGGCGAAGGCUAAAACGAAGUCCGAGCUUUUACUUUAGACUUUGCCCGUCAGCCUGCCGUCUUCCCAGGCUUACUUCCCGCCUCCCCUCUGUCUUAACCAGAUCACACCAGGCUCUCUCGGUUCCUGCUGCUUUCCCGAAUCCUCAUCCCUGAAGUCUCAGCGCACCUGUCCUGUCACCUCCAUGAAACUCCUGCAUCACCCUGUUUGGACGUAAUCUGAGCUCGCUGGGCUCUUCCUACCUCACGGGGCUUUUCUUCUGCUCUUGUGAUGGUCCGUGUGUGAAGCAAGACCCAUACGAAAAGGAUCCUGUGUAGGAGGCUUGGCCGUGGUUGAGGGCGCCGUUGAAGAUGAUUGAAUGUUAAGUGUGUUAACCUCUCCUGGCUUUUAGAUGAGGCCUAUAGGUUGCCGGGAGCAUCAAUUUGGAAGGUAUCUUUUUUUUUCUUUUAACUUUUUAUUGAUUUUUUUAUGAGUUUUACAUUAUGCACCCCAGUUCUUCUCAGCCCCCUGUCCCUUCAUAUCCACCCUUCGUCCUUGCAACCCCCCCCAAAAAAUAAAAAAUGCACAAAUAAGCAAACAACAACAACAAAAAAUAAGCAAAAAAAACCCAAAGCACAGAAAGCCUCUCAUCACGGAAGCUGGAGGGUGUCCCAGAAUAUAUAUCCCUCUGUUCGUUGCGCUGAGUCAUUGUUCUGGUUAGAGAUCUCUGGCUUCUGUGACACCAUCAAUAUUGGAUCCUCACCGGGCCUCCUCCCAGUUAUCCUGUGUUGGCCUGUGUCAUAGAGAUCUGGCAGCUUUGGAUCAGCAGUCCUGGCCUUUGCAUGUGUCCCAACCAUCCAUAGAUAACGGAUUUUUGGGUGAGUCAACUCAGAGCUUUGGAUCUGGGCCUGGGUGGUAGCUAAGCUGGUCAGAGCCCCCACUCUCCCUUAUCAGCACCACCAGGGCGAGUUCUCCAGCACUGUCCCAGCUAGGACACCCAGUACCACCCAUGCAGGGUCAGCUCUCACGCCCUCCAGGCCAACUCACCUGCACCCCUGCCUCCAGAGUCGGCUUCGCUGUGCUGCCCAGUCAAGGUGUGAGGCCCACUCUCCCUAGUGCUUCACCCAGUGAGAGAAAGAGCCAACUCACCCUUCCUCAUGAUCCCAGCCCAUGCCACCUCAUGGCAGACGAGGGCCAGCUCUCCUUCACUUUUUCCCAGCUCACCUGAGCCACCUCCACUAGGGUGAGCUCUACUGUGCUGCACAGGUGAGGUGUAGGGCCAGCUCACCCACUCUCAUGACCCCAGGGUCAGCUCUCCUAUACUCAUGGGGAGGGGUAUUGACUCACACCUCCAUCACCAGGGUCAGCUGUGUUGUCUGGGUGAGGUGCAGGGCCCAGUGCCACCUGUGACAGGUAGGCCCAACUCUCCAGAGCACAACAGCCAGUGAGAAGCAGGGCCAGCUCUGCAUGGGUCCACCUGGACGUCCACCUGGGCCACAGCAGCUGCCCCAACCGGGGAUGUCCCUAUGUUCCCUAGUGGUAAUAUGAACCACGGACAUCAACACCAACUUCUGCUUCUGUGUAGCCCCAGACCCAGACAUGGCCCUCAGUGGCAACUCAGGCUGGGGCCUCAUCAUGACCCCAGGUGGUAGGACUGGCCACUUACAACGGGCUGCUCCUCUCUCCCCUCGAGUCUCCAUUUUCCUUCCUCUUCCACCUGUCCACCACAUAUUGCACAUUGUGGUGGCUCCCACUGCAGGCUGACCACAAAGCUGACUCCCUGUGGUGAGCCCCCGGGUGACAUCCUCUGGCAAGCAGGCAUAAAACAGCUUUGGCCACCUUCCUUGAAAUCAAACUAUACUAAACAAAGAACUGCCAUCCACUCUGCCCCUAACAACACUACUGACAAGUGUUCUGCCUCGCUCCGGUCCCACCACGAUGGAGUCAGCCUUCAAUAAACAAAAACCUUCAAGUCAUGGGCCCAAAUACAUCUCUCCCCCACCCCACGACGGCAUCCAUCUCAGAUGCUUUCAGGAGUGAUGUAAAGUGACCAACUCGCUGUCUUAUUCUACAGGCUCUCAUAAAACCCGUCUCCCGGACCGACAAUAAAUUAUCUGUAGUAAGACCUCG